GUAAAACAUAACCAGAAUUCAUUAACACCAGAAGACAUUUUUCCUUGUCUUGGUAAUAAAACGCAGAUAACCCUACGUUCUUAAAGAAAACGAGCGUAGAAGACAAAUCACAACAGUUUUUUUUUUCAUGUCUUAGUAAUAACACAACUAAAUAACACAACUAAAUAACACAACUAAAUGACACUACAUUCUCAAUAAUAAUUAAGAUAGUAGAACAAUAACAAGAGUUUAAAGAGAUGACUAGUUCACUGCGUAGCUUUCACAUCAACAUUGGAAUCAGGAGGUCGCUCACCACCUGCCAAAAAUAAAAUGAUAAUUACAACUAAGAAAAGCAGAGCAGGACAGACACAAAAUAAAUUUAAAGCAUCAAUUUUCUCAUCAUUUGUCUGUAUAUAAAACAAUUUGGAAGUUCCAACCUGCACAAAGCAAACACCUUGAAGGCUUGACCAGAAAAUGCAGACCUUGCGAUCGAGAUAGACAAGUUGCAACGACAAGGGAGUUGAAUGUUUUAGGUAUAACAUUAUUUCGAUGUGAAACAAGACUUAUGUCCUACUAACGAAUUUUCCAAAGGAACCUAAAUAUACUACGAGAAAACAGACUUUUAGUUAUGACCCACGAAGUCGCCACAAAAUCAAGGGUUUUUCGUGGCGAUAUAUAGUUGCAUGACAAGUAAAGAUUUUAGACCUGAAAAGUCGCCACAUGUAAUCGAGACUAUAGGCUAAAUUUUUGUCCACUGAAAAUGAAAUAUUUUGAAAUAUUAGGCAUGGAAAAUUUUCGUGGUGACCUGCUGAAAGCCACCACAGAUAGGCAAUUGGGGUGACCUAGUCCCUUCGUUUGGUCCUUGUUUCCAGUUAAGCUGGAAUCGUUUCACUAAUGCAAGAAGCUCUUGCAAUGAAUCAUGCACUCUUUGAGAAAUUUAUAACAUCAGAUUGCCUAGGUUAGAAAACCACGAAAACUGAAUGAGUUCAAAAUCAUUUUUGGAAGAAAAGAGAAAAUGAGAUGGGAAGAGAAAAGCUACACAUUCUCUUAGUUCUACUCUUAAAUGAAUUGUUUCUUUUCUUCAGUAGUAAAGAACCUUGGCAUCAUCAAGAAGGAAAAAAAAGAAAGUAGAGAUCUUUCAUUUGGUUCCAGGAGGAUAUAAUCAUGAUGAAAAUGAAAAAAAUAGUUUAUGGCAAGGACAACCUCAAACUCAUAAUAAAAUGAGAAAUUUCAGGCAAAAGACAAAUAGAAAUACAUAUAUUUAUAGCAAAGAUAGGGAAAUGUUAUGAGGAAAGAGUUUUUUAAAAAAAAGGCAGACCGAUACACAAAGUAUCCCGCAUUCACGUAGGAUCCAGGGAAGAGUCGUAUCCCAUGGGGUGUGAUGUAGAUAGCCUACCCUAAUGCAAGCAUUAGUGGCUGCUUCCACGGCUCGGACCGUGAUGUACAGGUCACACGGAGAUAACUUUACCAUUGCUCCAAGGUUCCCCUUCAAUUUAUGAGGAAAGUGUGUUCCUAAA
RNAcentral lists this long non-coding RNA (1496 nucleotides) under Nicotiana tabacum (common tobacco). RNAcentral describes it as "long non-coding RNA (NTAB_LNC002046)". The record is from RNAcentral. Lineage: Eukaryota; Viridiplantae; Streptophyta; Magnoliopsida; Solanales; Solanaceae.